Molecule: unclassified non-coding RNA, 234 nt
Filed under: plant metagenome
Description: partial contains small subunit ribosomal RNA, internal transcribed spacer 1, and 5.8S ribosomal RNA
Source: RNAcentral
UUUCCGUAGGUGAACCUGCGGAAGGAUCAUUAAUGUGUUUGGGCCUCACGGCUCUUCAUUCCGACGCUGUGCGCCUUCGGGCUGCACGCUGAGGGAGCAUAUAUCCACCCCUGUGCACACACACGGUGGCGAGCUGGGUAACGGUUCGCCGCUGAUCUUUACACACGUCUAAAAGUCAUUGUAUGUUUAUUUGAGAUAGAAACACAACUUUCAGCAACGGAUCUCUUGGCUCUC